GGAGGAGUGGCCGAGUGGUUUAAGGCGGCGGUCUUGAAAACCGCUGUACCGAAAGGUACCGGGGGUUCGAAUCCCUCCUCCUCCG
Molecule: transfer RNA, 85 nt
Filed under: Methanosarcinales archaeon
Lineage: Archaea; Methanobacteriati; Methanobacteriota; Methanomicrobia; Methanosarcinales
Description: tRNA-Ser
Rfam family: tRNA
About the family: Transfer RNA (tRNA) molecules are approximately 80 nucleotides in length.
Source: RNAcentral